Oncorhynchus tshawytscha (Chinook salmon) is the source of this 556-nucleotide long non-coding RNA. The record is from Ensembl. NCBI's taxonomy places the organism in Eukaryota, Metazoa, Chordata, Actinopteri, Salmoniformes, Salmonidae.
CUAGUGGUUAGAGCGUUGGACUAGUAACCAGCAGGUAGCCUAGUGGUUAGAGCGUUGGACUAGUAACCAGCAGGUAGCCUAGUGGUUACAGCGUUGGGUCAGUAACCAGCAGGUAGCCUAGUGGUUAGAGUGUUGGACUAGUAACCAGCAGAUAGUCUAGUAGUUAGAGUGUUGGACUAGUAACCAGCAGGUAGACUAGUGGUUAGAGUGUUGGACUAGUAACCAGCAGGUAGUCUAGUGGUUAGAGCGUUGGACUAGUAACCAGCAGGUAGUCUAGUGGUUAGAGCGUUGGACUAGUAACCAGCAGGUAGCCUAGUGGUUAGAGCGUUGGGCCAGUAACCAACAGGUAGUCUAGUGGUUAGAGCGUUGGGCCAGUAACCAGCAGGUAGCCUAGUGGUUAGAGCGUUGGGCCAGUAACCAACAGGUAGUCUAGUGGUUAGAGCGUUGGGCCAGUAACCAGCAGGUAGCCUAGUGGUUAGAGUGUUGGGCCAGUAACCAACAGGUAGCCUAGUGGUUAGAGUGUUGGGCCAGUAACCAACAGGUAGUCUAGUGGUUA